This 301-nucleotide ribosomal RNA is filed under the name uncultured bacterium. RNAcentral's name for it is "partial 16S ribosomal RNA". It matches the Rfam family "Bacterial small subunit ribosomal RNA", at positions 509 to 807 of the family's 1533-position model. The record is from RNAcentral.
CAGUCGCCGCGGGAAUACGUAGGGUGCAAGCGUUAAUCGGAAUUACUGGGCGUAAAGCGUGCGCAGGCGGUUUGUUAAGACAGAUGUGAAAUCCCCGGGCUCAACCUGGGAACUGCAUUUGUGACUGGCAAGCUAGAGUAUGGCAGAGGGGGGUGGAAUUCCGCGUGUAGCAGUGAAAUGCGUAGAUAUGCGGAGGAACACCGAUGGCGAAGGCAAUCCCCUGGACCUGUACUGACGCUCAUGCACGAAAGCGUGGGGAGCAAACAGGAUUAGAUACCCCAGUAGUCCCUGUCUCUUAUAC